CGUGUAGGCGGCCUCUUAAGUCUGAUGUGAAAGCCCGGGGCUUACCCCCGGAAGGGCAUUGGAAACUGGGAGGCUAGAGUACCGGAGAGGAAGGUGGAAUUCCUGGUGUAGCGGUGAAAUGCGUAGAUAUCAGGAGGAACACCGGUGGCGAAGGCGGCCUUCUGGACGGAUACUGACGCUGAGACGCGAACGCGUGGGGAGCAAACAGGAUUAGAUACCCUGGUAGUCCACGCCGUAAACGAUGGGCACUAGGUGUUCGGGGUAUUGACCCCCUGAGUGCCGCAGCUAACGCAUUAAGUGCCCCGCCUGGGGACUACGGCCGCAAGGUUAA
This 331-nucleotide ribosomal RNA is filed under the name uncultured bacterium. RNAcentral's name for it is "bacterial SSU rRNA". It matches the Rfam family "Bacterial small subunit ribosomal RNA", at positions 568 to 897 of the family's 1533-position model. The record is from RNAcentral.